RNAcentral lists this ribosomal RNA (1538 nucleotides) under Klebsiella pneumoniae. RNAcentral's name for it is "bacterial SSU rRNA". It matches the Rfam family "Bacterial small subunit ribosomal RNA". Lineage: Bacteria; Pseudomonadati; Pseudomonadota; Gammaproteobacteria; Enterobacterales; Enterobacteriaceae. The record is from RNAcentral.
AAAUUGAAGAGUUUGAUCAUGGCUCAGAUUGAACGCUGGCGGCAGGCCUAACACAUGCAAGUCGAGCGGUAGCACAGAGAGCUUGCUCUCGGGUGACGAGCGGCGGACGGGUGAGUAAUGUCUGGGAAACUGCCUGAUGGAGGGGGAUAACUACUGGAAACGGUAGCUAAUACCGCAUAAUGUCGCAAGACCAAAGUGGGGGACCUUCGGGCCUCAUGCCAUCAGAUGUGCCCAGAUGGGAUUAGCUAGUAGGUGGGGUAACGGCUCACCUAGGCGACGAUCCCUAGCUGGUCUGAGAGGAUGACCAGCCACACUGGAACUGAGACACGGUCCAGACUCCUACGGGAGGCAGCAGUGGGGAAUAUUGCACAAUGGGCGCAAGCCUGAUGCAGCCAUGCCGCGUGUGUGAAGAAGGCCUUCGGGUUGUAAAGCACUUUCAGCGGGGAGGAAGGCGUAAGGUUAAUAACCUCACGAUUGACGUUACCCGCAGAAGAAGCACCGGCUAACUCCGUGCCAGCAGCCGCGGUAAUACGGAGGGUGCAAGCGUUAAUCGGAAUUACUGGGCGUAAAGCGCACGCAGGCGGUCUGUCAAGUCGGAUGUGAAAUCCCCGGGCUCAACCUGGGAACUGCAUUCGAAACUGGCAGGCUAGAGUCUUGUAGAGGGGGGUAGAAUUCCAGGUGUAGCGGUGAAAUGCGUAGAGAUCUGGAGGAAUACCGGUGGCGAAGGCGGCCCCCUGGACAAAGACUGACGCUCAGGUGCGAAAGCGUGGGGAGCAAACAGGAUUAGAUACCCUGGUAGUCCACGCCGUAAACGAUGUCGAUUUGGAGGUUGUGCCCUUGAGGCGUGGCUUCCGGAGCUAACGCGUUAAAUCGACCGCCUGGGGAGUACGGCCGCAAGGUUAAAACUCAAAUGAAUUGACGGGGGCCCGCACAAGCGGUGGAGCAUGUGGUUUAAUUCGAUGCAACGCGAAGAACCUUACCUGGUCUUGACAUCCACAGAACUUUCCAGAGAUGGAUUGGUGCCUUCGGGAACUGUGAGACAGGUGCUGCAUGGCUGUCGUCAGCUCGUGUUGUGAAAUGUUGGGUUAAGUCCCGCAACGAGCGCAACCCUUAUCCUUUGUUGCCAGCGGUUCGGCCGGGAACUCAAAGGAGACUGCCAGUGAUAAACUGGAGGAAGGUGGGGAUGACGUCAAGUCAUCAUGGCCCUUACGACCAGGGCUACACACGUGCUACAAUGGCAUAUACAAAGAGAAGCGACCUCGCGAGAGCAAGCGGACCUCAUAAAGUAUGUCGUAGUCCGGAUUGGAGUCUGCAACUCGACUCCAUGAAGUCGGAAUCGCUAGUAAUCGUAGAUCAGAAUGCUACGGUGAAUACGUUCCCGGGCCUUGUACACACCGCCCGUCACACCAUGGGAGUGGGUUGCAAAAGAAGUAGGUAGCUUAACCUUCGGGAGGGCGCUUACCACUUUGUGAUUCAUGACUGGGGUGAAGUCGUAACAAGGUAACCGUAGGGGAACCUGCGGUUGGAUCACCUCCUUA